AGCAGCCGCGGUAAUUCCAGCUCCAAUAGCGUAUAUUAAAGUUGUUGCAGUUAAAAAGCUCGUAGUUGAAUUUCGGGAUUGACGUGACGGUCAUGCCUUAAGGGGUAUGAACUGUUACAGUUGAUUUCUCACCUUCUGGAGAAACUUGAUGUCCUUUAUUGGGUGUCUUGCGGAUCCAGGACCUUUACCUUGAAAAAUUAGAGUGUUUAAAGCAGGCAUUUUUGCUCGAAUACAUUAGCAUGGAAUAAUAGAAUAGGACGGCAUGGUUCUAUUUUGUUGGUUUCUAGGAUCACCGUAAUGAUUAAUAGGGAUAGUUGGGGGCAUUAGUAUUCAAUUGUCAGAGGUGAAAUUCUUGGAUUUAUUGAAGACUAACUACUGCGAAAGCAUUUGCCAAGGAUGUUUUCAUUAAUCAAGAACGAAAGUUAGGGGAUCGAAGACGAUCAGAUACCGUCGUAGUCUUAACCAUAAACUAUGCCGACUAGGAAUCAGACGAUGUUAAUUUUUAAUGACUCGUUUGGCA
Molecule: ribosomal RNA, 520 nt
Filed under: uncultured Entrophospora
Lineage: Eukaryota; Fungi; Glomeromycota; Glomeromycetes; Entrophosporales; Entrophosporaceae
Description: SSU rRNA
Rfam family: Eukaryotic small subunit ribosomal RNA
Source: RNAcentral